AUUUUUUGUCUCAUUUAAAUGUACUUAAUGGACUAAUCACGCAGCUAGCAAACCUCGGAGUAAAGAUCGAGGAUGAAGAUAAAGCCAUAGUGCUCCUAAACUCGUUGCCAUCUUCCUACGAUACUUUAGCAACAACCAUUUUACAUGGUAAGGACUCUAUUGAGUUGAAGGAUGUCACAUCAGCCCUUUUGCUUAAUGAGAAGAUGAGAAAAAGGCCUGAAAAUCACGGACAGGCUCUCAUCACGGAAAGUAGAGGCAGAAGUUACCAAAGGAGCUCAAGUAACUAUGGUAGAUCCGGAGCUCGUGGAAAGUCCAAGGUCCGAUCAAAAUCGAAGGCCAGAAAUUGCUACAAUUGCGAUCAACCAGGACACUUCAAAAGAGAUUGUCCAAAUCUAAAAAGGGGCAAAGGGGAAAGCAGCGGCCAGAAGAAUGAUGACAACACAGCUGCCAUGGUGCAAAAUAAUGACGAUGUUGUUCUCCUCAUAAAUGAGGAAGAAGAAUGCAUGCACUUGGCAGGUAUAGAGUCGGAAUGGGUGGUCGACACAGCAGCAUCUUAUCAUGCCACACCGGUAAGAGAUCUUUUUUGCAGAUAUGUAGCCGGUGAUUAUGGCAAUGUGAAAAUGGGUAACACAAGUUACUCAAAGAUUGCGGGGAUCGGAGACAUUUGCUUAAAAACAAAUGUUGGAUGCACAUUAGUGUUGAAAGAUGUGCGCCACGUACCUGAUUUGCGGAUGAACUUGAUCUCGGGAAUUGCUUUGGACCAAGAUGGAUAUGAGAACUACUUUGCAAAUAAAAAAUGGAGACUCACCAAAGGGGCAUUGGUGAUUGCAAAAGGAGUUGCUCGUGGCACGUUAUACAGGACAAAUGCAGAAAUAUGCCAAGGUGAAUUAAAUGCGGCUCACGAAGAAAAUUCUGCAGAUUUAUGGCAUAAAAGAAUGGGUCAUAUGAGCGAGAAAGGAUUGCAAAUUCUUUCCAAAAAGUCACUCAUCUCUUUUGCCAAAGGUGGCGUAAGGGCCACUGCGGUACGACCAGUGAUUGAAGGUACAUCUAAGAAGAAACCACCAACUAAGGAAAGGACUCAAAGGCGAGUGGUUGUUACAGGAAUGGAUGUGAUCACACCAAAUGGUCAGGAUCCCGAUGUGUUCUAUGAAAACUUGCUUCAAGGUGUCAGUGGCAUAAGUGAGAUAGAAUCUUUUGAUUGUUCACAAUUUCCAACAAGAAUUGCUGGAGAGAUCAAGUCUUUCUCAAGUGAUGGCUGGAUUUCACCUAAACUUUCUAAACGAAUAGACAAGUUCAUACUUUACGCUCUAACAGCUGGUAAGAAGGCAUUGAUAAAUGGCGGAAUUACUGAAGACGUAAUGAAAGAAUUGAAUAAAACAAGAUGUGGAGUUUUGAUUGGAUCUGGUAUGGGUGGAAUGAAGGUCUUCAAUGACGCAAUAGAAUCUUUAAUGACUUCUUACAAGAAGAUGAAUCCCUUCUGCAUACCACUUGCCCCUACAAACAUGGGCUCUGCGAUGCUUGCCAUGGACCUGGGAUGGAUGGGUCCAACUUAUUCAAUUUCAACAGCAUGUGCGACAAGUAACUUCUGCAUUUUAAGUGCUGCUAACCAUAUCAUUAAAGGUGAAGCUGAUAUGAUGCUCUCUGGUGGAUCAGAGGCAGUUAUUAUACCAAUUGGACUGGGAGGAUUUGUUGCAUGCAGAGCACUUUCCCAGAGAAACAAUGAACCUACUAAAGCUUCUCGGCCUUGGGAUAGUAAUCGUGAUGGAUUUGUAAUGGGUGAAGGAGCUGGAGUCCUGCUUUUGGAAGAACUUGAGCAUGCUAAGAGAAGAGGUGCAACUAUCUACGCUGAAUUUCUGGGUGGAAGCUUUACAUGUGAUGCUUAUCAUAUGACUGAGCCUCAUCCUGAAGGAGCUGGUGUUAUCUUAUGCAUAGAGAAGGCAUUAGCUCAGUCUGGUGUAUCCAAGGAAGAAGUGAACUACAUUAAUGCGCAUGGCACUUCCACACCAGCAGGGGAUCUCAAAGAGUACCAAGCGAGUGUACAUUGUUUUGGCCAGAACCCAGAGUUACGAAUUAACUCCACGAAGUCUAUGAUUGGUCACCUGCUAGGAGCUGCUGGUGCUGUUGAAGCUGUAGCAACUAUUCAGGCAAUACGAACUGGAUGGGUUCAUCCGAAUAUAAAUCUUGAUAGCCCAGAUGAGGGUGUGGAUACAAAUGUACUUGUGGGUUCGAAAAAAGAAAGAUUGGAUAUUAAGGUGGCAAUAUCGAAUUCAUUUGGAUUUGGUGGCCAUAAUUCAUCGAUAUUAUUUGCUCCCUACAAGUAAAUAUAUUGUCCAUCCCAACAAACCUAAGGUAUGUAUGGUUGUUGAUUUUGAAUGUAAAGUUCAGUUAUGAGUGUUAUGACUUCGCAGAUUGAAACAACCUGUCCUUUGUGUAUCAAGGAAGACGAAAAUAAUAAGCACGAAAAGAGGGCGUUUAAAGGUAAAUUGAAUUAGGGUCCUUGAUUUCGAGUUAUAUAUGGAGUCAAAAUUGACGAUGACUUCUCUAGUGGAAGAAGGUAUUUGUAGUAGCCGGUAGAUAAUUGUUGGAGCAAGCACGUGAAAGGGAAAAUCGCGUAGGAUUUUCCUUUUCGAUCAUGGCUACUAUAGCAUUCUUGGUUUCGAUCAUAAUACAUAUAGAUUGAUCCAAUAUCUGAUUCAAAUCCAAUAUAGUUUUCAAAAAUUAUUGUAUCAAAAUUGUUGUUACUAUAGAACAUUUCUAAUAAUAGCAUACUAUUAUUCUCUUCAACAA
This is an RNA transcript of Solanum pennellii, 2787 nucleotides long. It is a transcript of the gene named 3-oxoacyl-[acyl-carrier-protein] synthase II, chloroplastic-like, with no coding region annotated. NCBI's taxonomy places the organism in Eukaryota, Viridiplantae, Streptophyta, Magnoliopsida, Solanales, Solanaceae. The transcript is spliced from 14 exons. The record is from RefSeq and is a predicted model, not a curated record.